GGAUGGUGGCACAACUCGCUCCUUUGGUGAACCAGCACUGAGUGUAGAGUCAGACCUAGCGAAUAUGUGCUUAGAUACAGGUUUGAAGGAGUCCCUAGGUGUGCUUGUCGCAGAGAUAUUAGAUGGUGGCAAGUCAGGGACUUUAACAGUCUCUGGAUUCCAUCGCCUUUGCCGCUUAGAAGUGUCAUUUGUCUUGGCAACUUCAUGGUCUUCAAGUUUUCGCUUCUCACUAGGAGUUGUGGGCCUCACUUUGUCCUCGGCAUGUAUAACCUUUUUGUCAUGAGAGAAGCCAUCAGACACAACAUCAACCAAUGAUCCCUGGUCCACUUCUAGUUUUUGCUUCUCAUUAGGAGUCGAGAGUCUCGCC
Molecule: unclassified non-coding RNA, 367 nt
Filed under: Hevea brasiliensis (rubber tree)
Lineage: Eukaryota; Viridiplantae; Streptophyta; Magnoliopsida; Malpighiales; Euphorbiaceae
Source: RNAcentral